CCGCACAAGCGGCGGAGCAUGCGGAUUAAUUCGAUGCAACGCGAAGAACCUUACCAAGGCUUGACAUACACCGGUAACGCCCAGAGAUGGGUGCCCCUUUGUGGUCGGUGGACAGGUGGUGCAUGGUUGUCGUCAGCUCGUGUCGUGAGAUGUUGGGUUAAGUCCCGCAACGAGCGCAACCCUCGUCCUAUGUUGCCAGCGGGUCAUGCCGGGGACUCAUGGGAGACUGCCGGGGUCAACUCGGAGGAAGGUGGGGAUGACGUCAAAUCAUCAUGCCCCUUAUGUCUUGGGCUUCACGCAUGCUACAAUGGCCGGUACAAAGGGCUGCGAUACCGCGAGGUGGAGCGAAUCCCAGAAAGCCGGUCUCAGUUCGGAUUGGGGUCUGCAACUCGACCCCAUGAAGUCGGAGUCGCUAGUAAUCGCAGAUCAGCAACGCUGCGGUGAAUACGUUCCCGGGCCUU
RNAcentral lists this ribosomal RNA (461 nucleotides) under uncultured Curtobacterium sp. RNAcentral's name for it is "bacterial SSU rRNA". It matches the Rfam family "Bacterial small subunit ribosomal RNA", at positions 921 to 1382 of the family's 1533-position model. Lineage: Bacteria; Bacillati; Actinomycetota; Actinomycetes; Micrococcales; Microbacteriaceae. The record is from RNAcentral.